AAGACCCAAAUAUCCAAAGUUGCAGAGCCGGCAAUUUGGAAGCUGCGCUUACACCGUUCACACUGCCGCGAAGUGGUGCGACAAGCGCGUACGCGUACAAAACACCGCCGUAAUGCUAUAUCGCUACCAUACAACAGAGAGGGAGCUGCCUGUCUCAAAAAUGGCUACAGAGAUAGGAACUGCCGAUGGUAGAGAAUCUGACAUUAAAAAACGCUGUAGAGCUGGAUGAACACAGCAGGCCAAGAAGCAUCAGAAGAGCAGGAAAACUGACGUUUCGGGUUGAGACCCUUUCUCUCAUGCUGUCUCAAAGAUGGCAUUGUUCAUACAUUCACAACACGGAAAUAAGCUCCUCAAGGUCCCCACUCAUGAAAAUGUGCAUCAAAAAGACAGCCAUCCAUCGUAUCAGUUUGAUGAGGAUUUGUAGCCGCGGUUGCCUUGCUAGCGAGUGGAUACUAACCUCAAGCUUUGGAGCAAAGUGAUUAGUGUAUUGAUCAGAGCAUCUGAGAUGGUGCUGCUGCCAACAACAUUCACGAUGUGGAGGGGCCAGUGUUGGACUGAGAUGGACAAGGCCGCCAUGUCAUGGCACCCUCUGCAGGACAUGUCAGAUCUUUGACAUGGACACUGUCAUCACACAUGGGAACACCACCCACCAUGUGACGCAGUCAAUAUUAUUUAUCUCAUACACUGCAGGCAAGGAUACUCCGAGGCAUGGUAUAUUGGCGAAUCCUUGGAGAUGCUAUUUCAGUGGAUGAAUGGACACUGUGCAACAAUUGCCAGACAGUGAUGUUCCUUCCAAGUGGGGGAACACGUCAGCGGUCAAGGACAUUCAGCUUCUGAUCUUUGGAUAAACAUCUUCCAAAGUGGACUUUGGGAUACAAAACAGCGCAGAGUUGCCAAGCAGAGGCUGAUAGCCAAGUUCGGUCCCAACGAGAACGGCCUCAACCGUGAUCUUGGAUUCAUGUCAUACUACAGGUUGCAUUCCCACCUCAAUUUGCAUCAUCGGUAAACUUAAACGCCUUAAUAUAAUAAACGCAAAAUAUUGCAGAUGCUGGAAUCUGAAAGAAGAACAGAAAGUGCUGGAGAAACUCAGCACAUCUGGCGGCAUGCUGGAUGGAGGACUGAGAGGGAGGACUCAAAUAGAUGAGUUGGAAUAAUUUGAAAGGGUAGUUUGGUUAUAACACUUUGAUGCCUUCUUCUGCAAAAGAAAAGCUGUUUUUACAAAACUGGACAGAAAUAUGAAUAAAUUAUUUAAAAG
Long non-coding RNA from Stegostoma tigrinum, 1255 nucleotides. RefSeq lists it as uncharacterized. The transcript is spliced from 3 exons. Lineage: Eukaryota; Metazoa; Chordata; Chondrichthyes; Orectolobiformes; Stegostomatidae. The record is from RefSeq and is a predicted model, not a curated record.